CCCUUAGAUGUCCUGGGCUGCACGCGCGCUACACUGAUGUGUCCAGUAAGCACCUAACCUCUUCCGAAAGGAACGGGUAACCUUUGCAAAGCACAUCGUGAUGGGGAUAGAUUAUUGCAAUUAUUAGUCUUGAACGAGGAAUUCCUAGUAAGCACAAGUCAUCAGCUUGUGUUGAUUACGUCCCUGCCCUUUGUACACACCGCCCGUCGCUCCUACCGAUUGAAUGGUUUAGUGAGACCCUCGGACUGGUCCCGUCGAAGCAGGCGACUGCCUCGACGCGCGCGCCGGGAAGAAGGUCGAACUUGACUAUCUAGAGGAAGUAAAGGUCGUAACA
RNAcentral lists this ribosomal RNA (334 nucleotides) under uncultured eukaryote. RNAcentral's name for it is "partial 18S ribosomal RNA". It matches the Rfam family "Eukaryotic small subunit ribosomal RNA", at positions 1470 to 1796 of the family's 1831-position model. The record is from RNAcentral.